RNAcentral lists this ribosomal RNA (599 nucleotides) under uncultured bacterium. Its description in RNAcentral is "bacterial SSU rRNA". It matches the Rfam family "Bacterial small subunit ribosomal RNA", at positions 94 to 691 of the family's 1533-position model. The record is from RNAcentral.
AGCGGCGCACGGGUGAGUAACGCGUAUCCAACCUUCCCUUUAGUAGAGGAUAGCCCGGCGAAAGUCGGAUUAAUACUCUAUGUUGUAUUUAGAAGACAUCUGAAGAAUACCAAAGGUUUACCGCUAAAGGAUGGGGAUGCGUCUGAUUAGGUUGUUGGCGGGGUAACGGCCCACCAAGCCGACGAUCAGUAGGGGUUCUGAGAGGAAGGUCCCCCACAUUGGAACUGAGACACGGUCCAAACUCCUACGGGAGGCAGCAGUGAGGAAUAUUGGUCAAUGGACGAAAGUCUGAACCAGCCAAGUAGCGUGCAGGAUGACGGCCCUAUGGGUUGUAAACUGCUUUUAUAUAGGGAUAAAGUCGGGGACGUGUCCCCGUUUGUAGGUACUAUAUGAAUAAGGACCGGCUAAUUCCGUGCCAGCAGCCGCGGUAAUACGGAAGGUCCAGGCGUUAUCCGGAUUUAUUGGGUUUAAAGGGAGCGCAGGCUGAUGAUUAAGCGUGACGUGAAAUGUAGCCGCUCAACGGCUGAACUGCGUCGCGAACUGGUUAUCUUGAGUGAGUUCGAUGUUGGCGGAAUUCGUGGUGUAGCGGUGAAAUGCUU